CAUCGAGAUUUUAUAGUCUGACAUCUGGAAUUUAAAUGUCUCAACAAGGGCGUUAGAUCCAACAACGUUCCACAAUGCUAAUGGGAGAAUUCAAAUUUGGGACCUCUCUCUCAUUUCUUCUCCUUUCACGCUUUGAAACAAAUAAAGGACACCCGAGAUCCCCGUAGAAGCUCUUGUUGGAAAAUUUAGAUUUCAAAUGUCAGAUUAUAAAACAUGGGUG
Molecule: microRNA precursor, 220 nt
Filed under: Glycine max (soybean)
Lineage: Eukaryota; Viridiplantae; Streptophyta; Magnoliopsida; Fabales; Fabaceae
Description: miR5374 stem-loop (gma-MIR5374)
Source: miRBase by way of RNAcentral